CCUACGGGUGGCACCAGUGGGGAAUAUUGCACAAUGGGCGCAAGCCUGAUGCAGCCAUGCCGCGUGUAUGAAGAGGGCCUUCGGGUUGUAAAGUACUUUCAGCGGGGAGGAAGGCGGUGAGGUUAAUAACCUCAUCGAUUGACGUUACCCGCAGAAGAAGCACCGGCUAACUCCGUGCCAGCAGCCGCGGUAAUACGGAGGGUGCAAGCGUUAAUCGGAAUUACUGGGCGUAAAGCGCACGCAGGCGGUCUGUCAAGUCGGAUGUGAAAUCCCCGGGCUCAACCUGGGGACUGCAUUCGAAACUGGCAGGCUAGAGUCUUGUAGAGGGGGGUAGAAUUCCAGGUGUAGCGGUGAAAUGCGUAGAGAUCUGGAGGAAUACCGGUGGCGAAGGCGGCCCCCUGGACAAAGACCGACGCUCAGGUGCGAAAGCGUGGGGAGCAAACAGGAUUAGAUACUCGUGUAGUC
RNAcentral lists this ribosomal RNA (465 nucleotides) under uncultured bacterium. RNAcentral describes it as "bacterial SSU rRNA". It matches the Rfam family "Bacterial small subunit ribosomal RNA", at positions 338 to 795 of the family's 1533-position model. The record is from RNAcentral.